RNAcentral lists this ribosomal RNA (496 nucleotides) under uncultured bacterium. RNAcentral's name for it is "partial 16S ribosomal RNA". It matches the Rfam family "Bacterial small subunit ribosomal RNA", at positions 29 to 507 of the family's 1533-position model. The record is from RNAcentral.
AUGAACGCUGGCGGCGUGCCUAAUACCUGCAAGUCGAGCGAACAGACGAGGGGCUUGCUCCUCUGACGUUAGCGGCGGACGGGUGAGUAACACGUGGAUAACCUACCUAUAAGACUGGGAUAACUUCGGGAAACCGGAGCUAAUACCGGAUAAUAUAUUGAACCGCAUGGUUCAAUAGUGAAAGACGGUUUUGCUGUCACUUAUAGAUGGAUCCGCGCCGCAUUAGCUAGUUGGUAAGGUAACGGCUUACCAAGGCAACGAUGCGUAGCCGACCUGAGAGGGUGAUCGGCCACACUGGAACUGAGACACGGUCCAGACUCCUACGGGAGGCAGCAGUAGGGAAUCUUCCGCAAUGGGCGAAAGCCUGACGGAGCAACGCCGCGUGAGUGAUGAAGGUCUUCGGAUCGUAAAACUCUGUUAUUAGGGAAGAACAAAUGUGUAAGUAACUAUGCACGUCUUGACGGUACCUAAUCAGAAAGCCACGGCUAACUACGUG